AUACGACCAUGAGACCGAUACCGUGAAGAAAAGUUGAAAAGUACUUUGAAGAGUUAACGAGUACGUGAAACCGUUCAGAGGUAAACCUAAGAAACCCAAAAAAUCGAACGGGGAGAUUCAUCGUCAACGAAACUGGCUUCGCGUCGGUGGGCGAUAACCCCGCGGUGUGUCCUAAGCGGCACGCGCGUGCGGGCACGCUACCGAACGCCGAUGUCCGGUUUUCGUCGUCGUGCACUUCUCCCCUAGUAGAACGUCGCGACUCGCUGUGUGUCGGUCACCGACCCGGGUGCGGUUACUGUCACGUCGCCCGUAAAAACGGCG
Molecule: ribosomal RNA, 321 nt
Filed under: Pseudomyrmex aff. flavicornis-c MAS-2013
Lineage: Eukaryota; Metazoa; Arthropoda; Insecta; Hymenoptera; Formicidae
Description: eukaryotic LSU rRNA
Source: RNAcentral